This is a long non-coding RNA of Oncorhynchus kisutch (coho salmon), 2334 nucleotides long. RefSeq lists it as uncharacterized. NCBI's taxonomy places the organism in Eukaryota, Metazoa, Chordata, Actinopteri, Salmoniformes, Salmonidae. The record is from RefSeq and is a predicted model, not a curated record. The transcript has 3 exons.
GCUGACCCUGGUGCUAGAGGGGGUACGCAGCUGGAGGUUGAAUGUUUGGAGGGGUACGGGACUAAAGUUUGGGAACCACUGCCCUAGACCAUUAUACAAGUAGCCACCGAAUAAGUUUAAUGAAUGGUUACUGAUCAACAUGUUUCGUUUUUGCGGUUUCAGAGUUGGCCACGGACUGCCAUGACUUGUUCCUGAAAGGGGAGAGAAAUAAUGGAGUGUACACCAUGCAGCCACGCAACUCUCAGCCCUUUGACAUCUUCUGUGAAAUUACUGCUGAGUGAAAGGAAAACUAACUUGGUUGCUAUAAACUUCGAUAUCGCCAAUGACUGGAAUUUGUCCUGGCGGAUACAGGCUUCUCCAAGAAAAGUUGCUUUGCACAGAGAAAACCCCAUCGGCUGUGGAACAAUUGGAACAUUACUUGGCUAAUUCCUUCUCUUCCCGUCUUUUCUUUUACACAAGGUGGAUGGACAGUCAUCCAAAGACGGCAAGAUGGAUCCCAAAACUUCAAUCAAUUAUGGGAGGCCUAUCAAAAAGGCUUUGGCAGCCUGAAAGGCGAGUUUUGGCUGGGACUGGACAACAUCCACAAUCUGACCAAACAGGAAGAGCUCACAUUGCUGGUGGAGCUGUCUGAUUGGAUGGUAGAGGCUCAGUCUGUGCAGUAUACAUUCCUAUUGGAUGGAGAAGAGAGUAACUACACCCUCUACCUCCCCGAGAGUUCAUGUGAUAGACUGGAAAGUGGCUUAACCACCGAGCCCUCAGUGGAGGACAGACCUAUUGACAGAGACAACGAUCUGAACACAGACGUCAACUGUGCCAAGCAACUCUCAGGUGGCUGUUGGUUCAGCAACUGUGGCCAAUCCAACCUGAAUGGCAAGUACUGUAGAAAACCCAACAUACUUCAAAGAUGACAGCAAAGGAGUUUAAGAACUUAAUUUCCCACCGUCAACAAGAUGUUAGCAGAAUUACCAUGAAUUUUGUUGUUCAUAACAUCUGCUUUUGUGUAGCAAUCUUGCAAGAACAUCUCAUUCACUUUGGAUCAAUGUCUCAGUGGACACUAUUUCAGUCACAUUGCCUGAUACAUUGUAGCACUUUACACCCUUUGGAAGGGUCCUACUGUUUAUUUUAGUUAUUAUACUUUGUCAGUCGAAUGUGAGAAACUCAACGUCAUAUUGUCACUUCUAUACUUCCAAUAGUAAUAUAUUGUACAUUAAUAUCCAUUUUCAAUGGAAUUAAACUACUUCAAACAAAAUAUCUUAAAGAAAUGUAAAAGUGACAGUUAUAUUUGCAAUGGUUGAUUGCUUGGGUGAAAUGAGUCCUUAAAUCUAUGACUUAUUUUGUCUGGAUCCUUAAGGUUUAUAGUUGUACUCAAGAUGGCACAAAGAAUCAUAAAACAUACCGCUCCCCUAGUGAAAUAAAAAACGAUACAACCGCUUCACUUAAAAUUACAGACAGAUACAAGCACAACCAAGCUUAGUAUUCCCCAAGUUAUAAAUUAAGGGUUAUCAUGUCUAAUUUGCAUAAAUGGCCUACACCCCAUAGAAACAGAACACAGUGCAUAGAACAUAAAUGACAGACACCCUUACAAUAAAGGCAUAAGAAUUCCAGGGGUUGUUUUUGUACCAUAUGACUGAUAACGGAGUUACAGUGCAUUCGGAAAGUAUUCAGACCCCUUGACUUUUUCCACAUUUUGUUUUACGAUACAGCCUUAUUCUUACCCCCUUUUCAUAAUAUCCAAUUGCCAUCUUGUCUCAUCUCUGCAACUCCUCAACAGGCUCAGGAGAGGCGAAGGUCAAGUCACGCGUCCCCCAAAACAUGAACUGCCAAGCCGCGCUUCUUAACUUGGAUGUUAGCCACACAAAAAAAGUGUCUUUUAAGUAGCCACCCUUUGCCUUGAUGACAGCUUUGCACACUCUUGGCAUUCUCUCAACCAGCUUCAUGAGGUAGUCACCCGGAAUGCAUUUCAAUUAAGCUCAAGGAUCGGACACUUUUUUUCAAUUUUCGCCUAAAAUAACACCCAAAUCUAACUGCUUGUAGCUCAGGACCUGAAGCAAAGAUAUGCAUAUUCUUGAUAGCAUUUGAAAGGAAACACUAAAGUUUGUGGAAAUGUGAAAUUAAUGUAAGAGAAUAUAACAUUAGAUCUGGUAAAAGAUAAUACAAAGAAAAGAACAUGCUUGUGUCAUCUUUGAAAAUGCAAGAGAAAAGGUCACUAUGCAUUAGUCCAGAUUAGGCACAAUUUUGUCCACUAGAUGGCAGCAGUGUAUGUGCAACAUUUUAGAGUGAUCUAAUGAACCAUUGUAUUUCUGUUCAAAUUGAUGUAUCAAGACUGCCCAAAUG